UGGGGGAUAUUGCACAAUGGAGGAAACUCUGAUGCAGCAACGCCGCGUGAGGGAAGAAGGUUUUCGGAUUGUAAACCUCUGUUUUCGGUGAAGAAAAAAAUGACGGUAGCCGAAGAGGAAGCCACGGCUAACUACGUGCCAGCAGCCGCGGUAAUACGUAGGUGGCAAGCGUUGUCCGGAUUUACUGGGUGUAAAGGGUGCGCAGGCGGGACUGUAAGUUGGAUGUGAAAUACCGAGGCUCAACCUCGGGGCUGCAUCCAAAACUAUAGUUCUUGAGUGAAGUAGAGGUAGGCGGAAUUCCGAGUGUAGCGGUGAAAUGCGUAGAUAUUCGGAGGAACACCAGUGGCGAAGGCGGCCUACUGGGCUUUAACUGACGCUGAGGCACGAAAGCAUGGGGAGCAAACAGG
RNAcentral lists this ribosomal RNA (407 nucleotides) under uncultured prokaryote. RNAcentral's name for it is "bacterial SSU rRNA". It matches the Rfam family "Bacterial small subunit ribosomal RNA", at positions 355 to 776 of the family's 1533-position model. The record is from RNAcentral. RNAcentral also lists the same sequence under 1 other name.